AGCUUGCUCCUCUGACGUUAGCGGCGGACGGGUGAGUAACACGUGGAUAACCUACCUAUAAGACUGGGAUAACUUCGGGAAACCGGAGCUAAUACCGGAUAAUAUAUUGAACCGCAUGGUUCAAUAGUGAAAGACGGUUUUGCUGUCACUUAUAGAUGGAUCCGCGCCGCAUUACCUAGUUGGUAAGGUAACGGCUUACCAAGGCAACGAUGCGUAGCC
This 219-nucleotide ribosomal RNA is filed under the name Staphylococcus sp. RNAcentral describes it as "partial 16S ribosomal RNA". It matches the Rfam family "Bacterial small subunit ribosomal RNA", at positions 77 to 288 of the family's 1533-position model. The record is from RNAcentral. Lineage: Bacteria; Bacillati; Bacillota; Bacilli; Caryophanales; Staphylococcaceae.